GCACUGUAAUUGGAACAUACAGACGUCCUCAUCUGAUGCUUCGCGGGGGCUCGAUUUAGUCAUCGAGGUUGACGUGAAUGAUGUAUAGGUCUGCCAAAGUGUACGGGGGCUCUUACAAAUCUCGCCCGUGAUAUAUAUGGGUCAUAUUAUAGAGACACUGGAUGUUUUGUGUCUGAGAAGGAAGUUCUAUCAGUCGUUCACCAAUGGCCACCUCAAUGUCACCUUCGCUUCUGAGCCCACAUACGUUGGGUUGGGCUUUAGAAUUUCUUAUUACGCGGCAGAGAGAAAGCACAGCUGUAAGCAUGAGGUCAUGCUGACCAAGAACAACUCACCAUACCGCCUGGACUACCAAGUGAUGCCU
Molecule: long non-coding RNA, 361 nt
Organism: Aplysia californica (California sea hare)
Lineage: Eukaryota; Metazoa; Mollusca; Gastropoda; Aplysiida; Aplysiidae
Exons: 3
Source: RefSeq, a predicted model, not a curated record